Carya illinoinensis is the source of this 1231-nucleotide RNA transcript. RefSeq lists it as uncharacterized. The record is from RefSeq and is a predicted model, not a curated record. Lineage: Eukaryota; Viridiplantae; Streptophyta; Magnoliopsida; Fagales; Juglandaceae. The transcript is spliced from 2 exons.
GAGAGAGCUCUUGAUGAGAGAGAACUCGAUGAGAGAGAGGGGGUGGGCAAGAGAGAACCUGUGAAAGAGAGCUUGAUGGGAGAAAGAGGGAUGAGAGAGAGAGCUUGAGGAGAACAUGUAGUCCAAGCGGAACUCAAUGUACCACAAACCUACUAUCCAUUGAUUUAAUUAGCUUACUAUCAUUAAAUCUGUGUCCGAAAGUAAAUUACCGCAUCCAUUAUUCUAUAAUCGGAUAACAAGCUAGCUCAUGACAAAAAAGCCAAAUAAAACUUGAUGCUUUCUCUAUGCAACUUUCGUCCAAAAUAAGCCCUCUUAAAAAGAGAGCAAGAGCAUCAAAAAGAGAAGAGAAGAGAAGGCAACAUAGUCUAUUUCCUACAAUAAAGAAGAAUAAAGUGUCAUUGGGUUCUAAGAUCUUAACCCUUUACCACUUCUUUAAUGGCUCCGGCUUCAACAACGAUCUGCAGCAUUGGGGUUGGAAUUCUAAUUUGUAUGAUUUAAUUAUGCAAAGGAGUUUCCUUGCAGGUGGUGGCCUUAUGUUGAUACUUUGCUUGGAUGGAGACUCCUCAUCUCGUAUCUUAAUUAUCGCCAGCUUGGACUUCUCAAACUCAGCUCAAAUCAUGUUUCCAAGCCAAAACUGAAAAAGAAGAUAUUUGAGGCGGUGGAAAUGGCUCAGAAAUCGCAAGCAAUGGACCAUAUAGUUCUUAGGAAGUUUGGAGAUGAGCAGAGCACGCUGUUGGACCGGUUUGAAAGACUGUCUUUUGAGGUGCAGCUGAACCAAGCCAUACUGGGGAGGAGCUUUUCAGAGCCAAGUGUGGCUCGGUUCCAAGCACCACUGUUUGGUCAGGGCCCGGCUCCACCACCACCUCCGCUGAGGCAGGCGCAACGAGGGCGUCGUGGAUCGGCUUUCCACAAGGUCCUGAAGAAGUUUCUCAAGCCUAUUCUUGGUAGAAAGAGUCGUGGUGGAAUGAGUGAAGUCCAACUACCAGAUCCAAGAAAUCCCAGGUCAUGGAAAGCUUUCAGCAGAUCACUCCGGGCUUAAAGCUAUAUAUCUGAGCGUCUAUAUUCUGGUUCACAUUUAUACUUAUUUUACAAGUUUUUCUUAUUUUUGUUUUGGCUAAGUAAAUUAUAAAUAAAGUCUAUUAACGUCGAUAACAUAAUAUUCGAUAUACACAUGCAAAUGGUUAUGUAACAAUAUUUAUAAAGGAAUGAAAAGCAAGAAUUCGGUUGUACA